CAACUUUUAUAAGAACCCGUGUCGUUUCCCUUGGAACAAACUUUUGAGUGACGAAGGGAGUAGUUUAUUUAGAUGGCAUAAAAAGGUCUAAUUACGUAGACUUGUGAUGAAAUGGGCAACUUUGAGGUUGAUCGGAGAUAGAAAGAGACGGUCGCUUGAGUAGUCCACCAAAAAGCUCAGCUGGAUCAUAGUAUAUCUCCACAUCUUCAGCCCUCAAGGAAUCAUCCACCUACCAACAACACACAAAUUACUCAAAAAGUAAUGUCAUAAUCAUAUACACAAUCAUAAUUGCAUAAUUGUAUCAUAUCUUUAUUUUUGUAAAGAAAAAAAUUAUACCUUAUUAAAACAAGGGCAAAGGUGCAGAUACCCCCCUGGACUACACCCCCUAUAGCUUUUACCCCCCCAUACUCGGUCAAAGCGCGUUGACCUCCCCAUAGUCUCGGAAAAA
Molecule: long non-coding RNA, 448 nt
Filed under: Salvia miltiorrhiza (redroot sage)
Lineage: Eukaryota; Viridiplantae; Streptophyta; Magnoliopsida; Lamiales; Lamiaceae
Description: long non-coding RNA (SMIL_LNC004954)
Source: RNAcentral